CAAGUUUUGUAGAACUUUUCCAAUAGAUUGUCUAGAUAUUCAUUAUUCGAUAAAAAAUGGGACAGAUUUCAUAGAGCUUUUACAAUACUUAACCGACUAAAGUCUGUAAGCUCUCAUCCUAUUUCAAUACCUAAUGUUCGAUAUUGAAAACGCACAAGUAUCGAUAAUUUACUCACAUUGUCAAACCAAAUUAAAUAUACAGAAUUAAAUAAUAAAUACAUUGCAAUGCUUAGAGGAUUUUAUAUACAUACAUACACGAUAAUAUUACAAAUAAACCAUAGAAUGCUGUAAUCAGCUGCGGCAACAAAGGAAUAAAUUGAUCCUGUAGAAGCAUUUUGGUUACGGGUCGAUGUCUGCAAACGUUUUGUUGUCUGACACUUGUCUUCCGCAGUUGGCUUGUAUAUUUAACGGCGUCUUCCUUUUGUAAUAUUUCUGUUGUGAUUGAAAGUGAGAAAAUACAGAGCUGAAAAUGUCUCGGCAGAAAAGUCAAAGCGAUUGAAAAUGUCGUGCAACAUCAACAACAAUAAUGCCAAUAAAUUUCCUAUCAAAACGUGUAAAAAUAAUCUCACAAUAACAUCAGUGACCCAUCAGAACAAAUGUCAGCAACACGCCUUCGAACGGCUCAUUGUGCAGAGAUGCUUACAGUCGGCGCUUAGGAAAGAAGAAAUCUAUACGCUAAACAGGAUUUAUUUUGUAGCGAGAGAAUAAACUGACAAAGCAAUACAAUUCAGGAAAAAAAAAAUUAUUGCUGACAUGUCUAAUGGCGUUCGAAAAUGGAAAUGCAGACACAAGCUGACAAGAUCUGCCACAAUCUCUUAAAAAAUCAAACAAAUAAACACAAGUUUUAAAGUUAACCCAGGAAAUUAAAAAUGCAGCUUAGAGAAUAUUCUCAAAAGAAGAUGAUAUACUUAACUUCCUAAAUUAUUUAUAAAACUUUUGGAUAUGUAAAUGAAAUGAAAGUAAUUAAAAACUGAGGAAAAGUGAGCACAGAAGUAUUAUUUUCUCAUAAAAACCGUUGCAUUUGCAAUUUCGAC
Bactrocera oleae (olive fruit fly) is the source of this 1034-nucleotide non-coding RNA. NCBI's taxonomy places the organism in Eukaryota, Metazoa, Arthropoda, Insecta, Diptera, Tephritidae. The record is from RefSeq and is a predicted model, not a curated record.